GCUCCUUUCACCCCACUGUCAUUCUAUUCCCCUUCUCUCCUGUAAAUGCCCCACUGCUUAUCAUUUCAGCAAUUCCAUGUAAUGGUGACUCUCCAAUCCUCUCUGAAUAAAGACAUAUCAGUGUCUACCUUGGCCAGCUGUUCUGAUUUCCUCCAUUGAACAGAGUUCCCGUUAGCAGUAGAGAUGGUCUCAAAAGUGCUUCAUUACCACAUGUGACUCAUUUUACAGCCUCACCCCAGCUCCUUUUCCAAGUGCCAUGAAGAUGAGUUAUCUCUCUUUACAGCGAGGAGGUGCUGCUCAUGAACUCCUUCAUCGCCAAAGCCAAUGAAACCGAAUUUCACAUCCAUGAUUCCUGGAGAGAAAAGACAAAUUGGGAAAUAUUCUCAUGACCGGAUGCACAGAAGAAAAUAACCAGUUAAUAUUAAAAAGAUUUAACACACUUACCAAAUCAAAUACUUGCUUGGUAAUAUGGAGCACUUUCGGCACUGAACGUAGCAGCCAUGUAUCCUGAACAAUGGCUCCAGUGAUGAGUAAUUCAUUCUGGCAGUGGGCCCUGCUCAGUUUAUGGAUUGGACCUAUUUCUAGCAGUUUCUGGCACAGAAGAUUGCGGAGAAACAGGAGUUGCGCAGAAUAUAAUUGGCACUUAGAAUUCAAUGCCCUUUUGCACCAGCCGUGCCAAUUUCAGGUGAACUGCGCUGAAAAGAAAACAUAAAAGUGUGGAAACUCCAGAAGGAUGUAUUCAACACCUUUUCAAUCAUGUUCUUCAUCACUUACUUUGGAGUUCUCCUUGUAACUGUUGCAACAUUUCUUCAAGCUUUGCUAGGUACAAUGGGACAGCAUGCAGCAACAUCUGCCUGGCUCUGCUCAGCUUCCAGAACUGACGGAAUGGUUUACCGCCAUUCCUGAUCACGUCUGCUGUCUUCUGUGAAACCUUUAACAACCAACCACAUGUCUCAUGUAGGAGCUCAACACCUUCAACCUAGAGAGGAAUGAAACCAUUACUCAGGGUGUAUUGGUGCAGGGGCGAAAAGGUCCUUUGCCCGACUUCAGACCAAUAGUGUCAAAAUUCAACUUUAUCAGGUGGAUGGGGGUCGGGAGGUGGUCCUCUACAUAGCUUAUUAUUGAAAGCAGAGACUUGACAGAACACAACCUACACACAAGCUAAAGAGACGCUGAAUGAUGAAUGAUAAGGGAAAGUAAGACAAGCCGGAUGGAAACAGAAUGUAAAACAAGGACAUGUUGGUAUAUAGAUGCAAGUUCUUGUGCCUCAAAAUUCACUUUUACUCAGAUUACCAAAUCAUUUUUGAACAUAACUUUGAAGCAAUUCUUUAAAGUUUGUGAACUGAAUAGAUUUCCUCCCCAUCUCAGGGACUUACUUUGAUACACAAUGCAAU
Long non-coding RNA from Stegostoma tigrinum, 1394 nucleotides. RefSeq lists it as uncharacterized. Lineage: Eukaryota; Metazoa; Chordata; Chondrichthyes; Orectolobiformes; Stegostomatidae. The transcript has 5 exons. The record is from RefSeq and is a predicted model, not a curated record.